RNAcentral lists this long non-coding RNA (8085 nucleotides) under Xyrichtys novacula (pearly razorfish). The record is from RNAcentral. Lineage: Eukaryota; Metazoa; Chordata; Actinopteri; Labriformes; Labridae.
GUUUGGAAAAAAAAGGGAUAAUGGCAGAUUGAUUAGGACUAAUGUUUUAAUUCUUUCACCAAUGUUUAACCAAUUUCUCACUCCUUUUCCCCUUUUUUUCUCGCUCAUUGAACAAAGUGCUUUCACACGCUGUGAACCACAUUAGCUCCCUCGGUCUUAACUUUGUUUAGCAGCUCACAAAACUCCAUUUGUUCCUGAAAAAUACUGGCGCUUCACCAGCAAUUAGGCAUAAAAGCGAGUGUUUCUCGUGAAAGCUACAUAAAUUUAAAGCAACGUAAAAAAAGGUGAGGUUGAUAGAUGACGGAUUGUGUUUGCCUGUCAUUUUUUACCUCCAACCCUAAGGCGGGCUGACGUUAAGGGACCGUGCUUGUUGAAUGGGUCUAGAGUCCCAUCAAUCUUUGCUUUGGCUCGUGGGAAAAAAAAAAAAAAAGGAGUCUGUCAAAACUAUAAAAACUUGGCACAGGAGCAGAACAGCAUAAACAAUCCACGCUUAUCAGAAAUUAAAGGGUAAAGCUGUCGACAUCGGGGAAUGUCAGCGCCCUGUGGUGGAUGGGAGCGGGAAAAGCUAAAUGACGAUCAUUAAGUGGAAAUAAAACUCCUGCGAGUCGGUGCGUGCCGCACAAAUGGGCAUGUCUCUGUGCCAGUUUGUGUGGCAUGUUGGUUUUAGCUCCAGUUCAGAAAACUGCUUUAAAAAUACUCAAUUCAUCAACCAAAAGCCUCCUAAUUAUUCAGCCAUGUCUUUACCGAACAUGUCUCAUAACCCCAACUACCCCGUGAUGUAUAUUUACCAAAUUAGGAGCCCAAUUAGAAGUAAUGGGCCCUGCAGUGUAAAAUUUAUUACCAUUUGGGUUUGAUUAAGUGCAGCAAAGGCUUCAGACUGAUUGUUAUUACCGAGGUGUAGGCUUCAAUACCACUUAGUCUUUUAAAGCAUUACAGAAACACUUAAGACCUGGCUUCAUGGAAAAGGGUUUCUGGAAAAAUGCCAAAGAAUACCGCUCCAAGAGGAGGGAAGAGAGACACUCCAGUAAAGCAGCGGAGUUUAGGCUGGAAAAAAAGCACCUUUAAGGCUUAAGCAGAAUCACACCCACUCAGAAAGUGAACAUGCACGGAGAAGUAAAGCUACAGUAAGAGGUCGAUAAAGCAGUUUAACAGAGAUUCUCUCUUUUUCCCAGUAUAUAAGCGCUGAAAAAAUUAGGUCCUUUCCACUCUUUCAGCAGGGGACCAGUGGACCUUCAAAUACUAAAACAGCUCAUAUUCAAAUGAGUGAGAGGCCAACUGGUCGUUCGGGUAAUAGUGAAAAUAUGGAAAACUUUUACGUUUGUUCGAUACAACAGCUUCUUUUCUUCUGUUAAGAUUUUGUUACCUAUUUUGCUUCCUUGAACACUUUGAUGCCGUUUGACCUCCAGAUCAAAACCUACUGUGGAGUGUGCAGAAGUGGAAGGCCAGUUUGGGUCAGAUAGAUGUAAAUCAUUAUCUUGGUAUAUUAGUCCAUCUACUAAGAAUUCAAACAGUGCAAUUACAUUAGGAUUAAUUUGUUCCCAUGCACUUUAUAAGUCCUGUUUCAGUCAGGCCUUAUGCAAUAAAUUGAUUUUUUAAUAUCAUGUAAACAUGCAAACUGGCGAUGGCUAACCACCAACCACAUUAUCAAUAAACUUCUUUCUUCUUUUUCUUCUUUCUUUUCUUCUUCUACUUCUCCUUCUUUUUUUCCCCUCUUCUUCGUCUAUCUUUUCUUCUUUCUUUUUCUUCUUUCUUUUCUUCUUCUACUCCUUCCUUCUUUCCCCUUUCCUUCUUUUUUCUUCUUCUUUCUUUCUUCUUGUUCUUUUUUCUUCUUUUUCCUUCUUUCUUUCUUCUUCUUUCUUAUUUCUUCUUCAUCUUUUUUCAUCUUUUGUUUCUUCUUUUUUCCUCUUUCUUUCUUCUUCUCCUUCUUUUUUCUUUCCUUUUUUCCUCUCUUUUUUCUUCUUCUUCUUCUUUCUUUUCUUCUUCUACUUCUCCUUCAGUCUAUUUUAUUCAUCAUCUUUCUUUUCUUCUUCUCCUUGUCUUUUUCUUCCUCAUCUUUCUUCUUCUUCCUCAUCUUUCUUCUUCUUCUUCAUCUUUCUUCUUCAUCUUCUUCUUCUGCUUCUCCUCAUUCUUCUGAACUCUUAAACAUUUAUUGUUGCAUUAACUAAGAAUCCCUGGACAUGUCUUAGAAUUAUCUCAUAAAAAAUUCACACCAUAUUAACACUGAUUGAACAUUUCCAAUGUGCGCUUACGUAUAUUUCUUACACUUUAACACCGCUAUCUUAACACUAUACCCCACAGAAGACGCUUUUUGGGAAAGUUUCCUUUCUCUAAGCAAUGUUAUUUGACCGCAGUGGUGUAGCAGAGCAGCAUUUAUUUAAAUACUAAAUCUAAAAGUCAGUACUGAGUGAUGACAUAACUUUUUUUCCUUAGUUGUUGCUGAAAUCCAUCAGCCGACUGAUUAAAUCUUGGACAAACCGUGUUCUGCGUAUAAAGACACAGUUUUCAUCAGUCUUCAAAGAGAACCAUUUCUGAGCGGCAGACUAUAAAGAGACGGAUCUAAUGAGUAUGCUGAUGUUUGUUAACCACCGUGUUUUGGACCCCUGUGUAGGCGGACAGCGAUGUGAUGCACUAUCAGAGUUCAGCUGUGUUUGCUGUCCUCGGUGCACAGGUUAAAGAUUGAUGCCCGCCCCGAUCCCCGUCUCCUCCCACUCGCACACUCACUUUUUCUUCCUUUUGUCCCCGCGACCAAAAGCAGAAUCAAAGAGCGUAUUGAACAGACCUGGAGCGCCAGCACACCCCAUUGCACAUGAAAAACUGAUAGGUUCCUUUGGAGCCCUGAGAGGUAAGCCCCCCGAACUCUGGGUUUCUCAUUGUCCCGGUGCACUUUGACACAGGUCCACAAUGGAAGCCCUAUCUUCAGCUAUAACACAAGCUCUGAAGAAGGGGCUGAAAACCAUUCAACCUGUCAUUAACCCUUCUGGAAACCAGAGAAUGGGGUAGUCCCACCGUAACACCCUGCCCCAUACACCUCAUACUCCACCCUCCCCAACAGACCGACUACCCUCCAGCGGUACAGCCCCCUUUUGUCCCAUUGUGCCAUGAGUGAUGGAUUCUGGCGGAUGGGAUGAAAAUGAGGGCCGCAGAGAGUUUGGUAGGCUUGAUUGGCAACUUUGGAUACCCAAACCGUCAAGAGAGAAGACAGGAAUAACUAUAGUACACCUAAAUAGGCUGGUCCCAAAAGGAGAAAGGGCAAGGGCCAGAGUGCUGACACAUCAUCAUAAUGAUAAAGAAAGAAGUCCCUGUAGAGAAACCUUCUGUGCAGCUUGGCCUUUUCUCUGGUGGGUUAACUUGAUCUCCUGUGAAUGCUGAUGGAGGAUCAUGCAGAUAUUUGGUGGGCGUAGAGACGGCUGACAGUGUUUUACAGAGGCCCUCUUGUGAAGCACAGGGGGACAUUAUAAAUGCUAAAUACCAAGCCGGACCCAGAUGAUCACCAUAGCCCGCGGCAAUCAAUAAGUGAAUGGAGACCAGGUGGUGAUGGCGCCAUUCAGAAAGGAAAGAGGAGGACCCAGAUUUUACCAAGUGGAGCAGGAGUGAAUACACAAUAGAGGUUGAGAGCGGGAGAUCAUAAAAGUGAUUGGACUCAAGGUGGAGGAGGAUCAAUGGAUGUGUGUCGGAUCUUAAAGCCCUGAGGAUGGACAUUAGUACAGGCCAGACCAAACCAACUUUGAUGAAUGUUGGGGGGGAACGCUCACACCCCCAUCCUACCGACGAUUUCAAGAUGAUUUUUGAUGCAGUUUAUUAAACUUACCAACAAAAAGAAGAGGGCGCCAUAUGGAAAGUCAAAUUAGGAUGACUUAAAGAAAUGCAUUUGUGGAGUGAUGGGGCCUAAUUGAUACACCAAAUUUGUGGUAGCAUCCCUGCAUCUAUAGUGUCGUGAAAACAGCUAAAUCAACAUAAAAACAAGCUUCCUCUAGAGUUGUUCAGAUACCGAUACCAGUAUCAGAAAAUGCUCUGAUACUGCCGAAAAUGCUAGCAUCAAUACCCGCGAGUACUGGAGUCAGUCAGUCCUUUUUCUUUAGCGCAAUUCUUUACGAAAAAACAUCGAAAAGACACAAAGACCUCACAGAUGCAGUGGCUUAUUGAAUUGCAAAAAGCCAUGCUACCAAUUAGCACUUUUAAAUUCCAUUUUUAUAUUGUCAUAUAUAUAGAUAUUGACUGAUAUGAAAAAAAUAUGUCAUGAUAAACUUUUUCCCAUAUCGCCCAGCCCUAGUCUUGCCAUCAAAAGUCAAAAGGAAGUCCUGCUGCAGUCGUAUGGCUUCAGUCGUAUAAGGAGACGCUUGAUCAUGCAAUGCACUGUUCACCACUGUAAGUGUGUUUUACUGGACUCUGGAAACAAAGGCAAAGACACGCAUCUGCAUCUGCAAGAGCUUCUACAUCAACAUGUUUAACUGAUUUACUCAAAAUUCAGGACAUCUUAACAAGCAUGUCUACCACAACAUUCUCACCUCCAGGGCUACUUGACCAGGAAGGAGAGAGUUGGAGUGUUGCGUCAGAUGACCUGGCCUCCACAGCCCCCUGACCUGAACCCUGUUGAGAUGGUUUGAGGAAAAGCAGCCAACAAGUUCUCAACACCUCUGGAAAACCAUGAUAUCUGACGUCUUUGGUUUUAAUUGUAAAUGGUAGAAAUAAAAAAUGAAGGAAGACAACUGAAUGAGUCUAGCCCUGAUGUUUGUGUCAGACUUGCUAAAUCAUGUGAUCUGUUACUGGAAUCAAUUGAAAACCAGAUUUUCAAAUUAAUACCCUUUAUUCACGAUAACUCAAAGCAGAAAUUUGCUCGUCGAUGAGACAUUUAAACAAACACCAACCACGGUCCGCCUCCACACAAUGUGUCUCUGUUCUUUUAAACAGAGGAAAAUCUCCACCUGCCCUUUAAAAAGGCUAAUGCAUUAAUGACUCCGCUCUGAACUCUGUGAUUCCAGCUGCUUUGCCACGUCUAAUGCGAUCCAGGUACGGGUUUAGCCUUCACUUAACUCUAAUCCCUGCACACUUGAUACUUUCUUAUAUGUGACUGUAAUGCAAACACGGUGCAGCGGCCUGCAGAGCUGCUUAAUGUGAUUGCAAAGAGGAAGGAGGGGGCAAACAUAAAACGAUAAGCUUUGCCUGUAGAAGCGUCGCACAUUAAUAUGGAUCAGGUGGAAGCUCUUUUCUUCUUACUUAAAGGAUCUGCAUCCCGGGAAUAAAGGAAAGGAAAGAGGAUUUAAGUUGGACGGUGAUUGGGCAACAAUAUGAAACAAUAAACCCAAGUGUUCCUUAUUUACAGCUUUGCUUUAAUGUGUUUUUAAGUGAACUUGAAGAAGGCACCGCCAUAUGUUAGGGUUGGUUCAGCUGAUCAAAUGAUAAAUCACAGAUACAGAACAGCUGCUGUAUGUAAGGGGCACAGCUUACACGGAUUAACUGAAAGGAAAAGACACUAUAGCUAAAAAUAAGAAGUGAAGGGAAAAUGAAAAACAUAAAAGAUAAAAACGUUGAUUUCCCUAAAAACUCCUCUGUCACUGUCUUUUUAUAUUUUUUAGUCAUAAUUGAUCACAGCCACAUUUUUCAUUCACCUCUCGAUACUCCCUUUUGGACUACAUGGAUCAAAACGAACUCGACAUCUUCGGGAAUAAUCAUAAAUAUAUGUUAAUCAUAUUUUGCUGCCGCUCUGGUUUUAAUUACCUCCAUGCUGCUACAGCCACUGUAUUAGGUAACAGGAUGAAUUUUGUUUUGCAUUAUGUAAGGGUUUCCAUUCAGGAGAGCUGCUGCAGAGGGAAAUGUGGAGACAAUCACCUCACUGGUUGUGCGUUUAAAACAAAGAAAUCAAUGUUUUUUUUAAUGUGAGACUGUUUGGUGAUUUAAUAAAAAGUCUCUUGUUUAAAUAAAUAUCCGUGCUGAGGUCCUCAAAAUAUGAAAUAAAGACUGGUUUGUUCAUGUUUUUUCUGUCUUUCGAAAGAGUUGUUACAACAUUUGUUAUUUUCAGGCUGUGUUUUCUGGACUGGAUGAACUCACUCUGUUGAAAAUGCCACAACAACAGUGAUUAAUUCUCAGUUUCUGGUGUCUGAUAAUUAAAUUAUCAAUCCGCCAAUCAAUAAAGAGUAAAAGUAUCUUCAUCAAAAUUCAUAUUAAAUCAAUCUGUGAAGGAUAAUGGAAGGAAAAUUCUCCACCUCCUGUUGAUACUGUGGGGAUUUUUUCAUUCCUUUUUUAAUUCAAUUUCCAGUGAGCAACUUUCUGUUUGUAUCAGGUUUGGCGCCCCCUGUGGACAAAACUGUCAUGUCCGCUCUAUGCCUACACAGUCUUCUAACAAAAAAAUCUCAUCCCGUCAGUUUUAUGAUCAAAUGCAUCAUUAAUUGUGGAUAUUAAUCUUGAUGAUGUGUUAGUUAUGAAUGACUCAGCUCUUGUAUUGAAACCAAACCAUGAAGAAACAUCUAAAGUAGAACAAGCCUGAUCCCGCUGAGCUAAAUGAUCAGGUUCCUUUAAAAAGAGCCUGAAUUCCCAUCACUGGGACUUGAUAUGGUUUAGUUGUUUUCCUGAGAAUAAGAGGGAUCCAAACUCUGCUCUUACAAGGUAAGACGGAUCACAGACCCCUUGAGCAUUUAGCACACUUCCCUCAUAGAUUUAAAUCUAGCCACACAACCGACAUUGAAUAACUUUUCUUCUCAACAAUAACAUCUUUGGAGGAUGACUCAAAGUCAAGGCUGAAAUCUGUUUUGCUGCCCUCAGCUCCAAAUGUAGCUUCACGUUCUGUCAUUCUGUUUACUUCUCUGGCAACUCACAGAAGUGAGCAGGAAAAGCUCAACUCUGAUUGGCCUGUUGUCACACACUUUUCUGCUAUGUUUGAUUGAAUAAAUAUGCUCACAACUGAUCACCGUGAUGGAACUAAAAUUUAUCACAAUCAUUGAUCACGAUCAUAUAAUCGCCCAGUCCUACUUCUAACUCAGUUAGUCCAACUUACACAAACUAAAACUUCCAAACAAAACCCUGGACAUUUUAAGGAUUUAUAAACUCCCCUGGACAGGCUGGACAGCCCCCCAAAAGAGGACAUGUCCGGGUAAAAGAGGACAUAUGAUCACUCUAUUAUAGUACCUCUCUAGUUGCAUGUUUCAUAGCUCCUUCUGUAGACGACUUUCAACAUGCUAGAAGGCAAAUAAGUUUAUACCAAAGUGUAGCUCUGAUAUCUUGCUUUCAACUUUCUUUGAAUGACUUUGUAAACCCCAGGGAGGCGGAAAAAAGAAAGUCUUCCCUUCUGUAAGAAUUUCACAGCGUUUGUCCUGCAUUAACCUGGUCUUGGGGAUCAUUUCACUCUGAACCUCAGAGCUGUGGGUGCUGAUGAGCUGGAGCUCCCCCGCUGAGAGUGUAAUUACAAAAGUCUCCGAUUUGUAACCUCCUGUGAGUGAGUUAUGGGCCGAAAUUUAAAUAAUCUAUCAUUGUGAUACCUGGAGAGAGCUGCGUUUGUGCUCGUCUCAUAUUACAGUCUUUUCAAGUCAGCUGCUUGUAAGAUGACUCGCUAUCCUUAAGCCCAUUGCUCUAUUUUCUAAGAGGAUAACGUCGCUGGUAUUUGCUCGGAUUAAUCAUAUUUGCAUUUCAGACCAAACUACUUUCCUCCAAUAAAAGAAACACACCGAUACAGAGCGCAGUCUUCACAGACGAUCAAAAGAGACAUACAUGCUUUACAUGUGGGCCAUUCUUUCCUCUGAGGAUAAACCGCUAUACUAUCCCUCAAGCCUGUGCAGACCCCCCUCCUCUUUUCUGUUUCCAUGCUUAGAUACAGAGAUUACACUUUAAAUGACACCAAGAAAAGACUAUGAAACAGAUUAACUAAAGAGCCGAGACUCACUGAGGUUCGUAAAAAGUCAUCAAAGGGACACGAUUGAAAUAUAACAGGGUUUUGACCAAUCAGAAUCAAGUAUUCGAAUCAAUAAGGUAAUAGGCUGGCAUGAGCUGUUGUAUCAUGUUGAUGUGAUCUAAAUAAAAGACCAUCCAAUAGAAAAUGAGCAGAAUUCAUGAGAAUUAAAGGGACAUUAAGGCGUAAAAUUAAGUUAGGGUCAAACA